UGGUAACAAAUUAUUGAAUUUUUAGAUGUACUAUCGUGCCGAAAAAAAACUAGGACAGCAAAAUCUCCUAAAUCUCUUGGUCUAUUAGAAUAAUAUAUUUUGAUGUUGUCAAAGUUAAUUUAAUUUUGUGACAGCCGCGUCAACAAAAUCUUUCUUUCAAAAUGCUUGCAUUAUCUGCUCUGUCUGAUAGAUGGAGUUCCUAUACGAAGAAUCGCAGAAGAAUUGGGAAUUAGUAAAAAUACCGUUUCCUUAGCUAAGGCAAAAAUUGCAGAAUAUGGAGCUAUUGUAAGAAAUCCAGGUUCUCGUCGACCAAAAAUUUCAAACGACAUUCAAGAUAUAGAGUUAGUUGGCUUUCUAAGAAACAAUCCGUUUGAAAUAGCAAUAAAAGCGAAAGAAGACAGGCAUUUUCCUGGUUCUGCUAAUACAACUCGUAGUAGGAUAUGAAAAUCGGAAAUUAAAAGUUGCUGUGCAACAAAUAAAAGAUUUUUGACUGAAGCAAACAAACAGAGAAGAUUAGAAUUUGCCCAUCAAUAUGCACACCAAAACAUAAACUUCAUAUUUUCAAAUGAAAAAAUCUUUCAAUCGUAUAAUAAUGGCAAAAUCCGCGUUUACAGGCCUUCUAAUACCAGAUGUGAUGAAAGAUAAUACACAUAAGACUAAUAGAAGUGGACGUUUUAGCGUUGAUUGAAUAUUUGGGAAGAUACGCAACCCUAUGGGCUAAAGCGUGACCGCAAAUAUGCGUGAAAAAUAGAUGGCGAUUCUCUCCAGUAUGCGCGAAAAUAAUUUCGUCCGUCGCUUCUCAUCAACUACUAUAACCCCUAUAAACUGUUUUAACUAUAUUUAACCCUUAUAAACUGUUUAUCUAUGCUUCCCAUUAGUAAUCGGCCGAUCAUCCCUGAGUCGUAUGGGAGAGUUUUUGCACAGGUUCGUGUUUGCCGUAUUGCAAUUUGAUAGUUGUUAAAAAAUUUUCUUGGAUAUCAUAAUCACAAAUAGAUAGAUAUAUGUAAAUGUGUUUAGUUUGUGAGACAAUGGCUCCUUUAGGCAAAAUUAAUCAGAGUGCGUAUCGUGGGUGCAAUAAUGUAAGAAAAUGUAAAAACAAUGUUCUCAGUUUUUUCAAAUUUCCGAUUUUAAAACCAGUGUUGCUUAACCAGUGGAUAGAAAAUAUAGGCAAUGCGGAAACAUAUGUUAUGGAUGAAAAUUUAUUAAAAAACAAAGUGGUUUGCGAGAAACAUUUUGACCUAAUAUAUAUUGCAGUAAGUAAUAAGCGAAAGAGACUUUUAAAAUCAGCUGUACCAAUUUUAUGGAAAGAACCGGCCUCUAAAAACACAAUUUCUUUGCCUGAUACCUCAUGUAACGCUCAAAGCCUUAAGAGUUUAGAUGCAAAAGUUUCAUCAAUAAAUUGGGAAAAUGAUACUACAAACGAUACAAAUGUAUUGCCUGGCACGCAUAUUCAAGUUGAUAUUUUGCAGCAUAGUCCAAAAAAUGGAAGUUUUUUUUUGAGAAGUUAUUAAGGAUGGUUCGUUUUGAAAUGAAAGCACUGUAUAGCUAAUUUUUUUGAAUGACCCCUUAAUGUUUUAGAAGAUGGAUAAAUUGUUUUAUAUUUCAGAUAACUUUAUAUUUAAGUUAACUUCAUUAAAAAAAAAAGUUUAAAGCUCAAAAAAAUAAGUAUUUACGCCUUAAAAAAAAAAAGCAAAUCUAGUGUCUAAAAACUUUUUUGGAAAUUUACUUAAAGGAAAAAGUACACCUGUAAAAACACUAAUUAACAUGCAGUUAUCUCCAACGAGAAAAAAAGUUUGGACGACCAAUGAGCGACAUUUGGCACUUUCUCUUUAUUAUAUAAUAUAUCUUUAUCUUUAUCUUUAUUAUAUUAAGUCUUAUUCUUAGUUAUCUUAUUAA
Long non-coding RNA from Anthonomus grandis grandis, 1896 nucleotides. RefSeq lists it as uncharacterized. Lineage: Eukaryota; Metazoa; Arthropoda; Insecta; Coleoptera; Curculionidae. The record is from RefSeq and is a predicted model, not a curated record. The transcript has 4 exons.